Molecule: long non-coding RNA, 8273 nt
Organism: Manis pentadactyla (Chinese pangolin)
Lineage: Eukaryota; Metazoa; Chordata; Mammalia; Pholidota; Manidae
Exons: 3
Source: RefSeq, a predicted model, not a curated record
UCCCCGGGGACUUCGGGCCGAAGAGAGGACCCCCAUCCUGACUCAGGGGGUAGGAGAGGGAUGGUACACUUUGCCCCUUGCACCCAGCCUCCCUCCAUCCAGCAGCCUUCAUCGCUGCCUCUCAUUUAUUGAUUUGGCUGGGUUUGAGGAGCUCACAAGAUUGGGUCCAUCCAGGGCUCAGGCUUUCCUGCAUGGCCACUAGCUCAAAGCAUCUGCCGCAGUGGAUAAUGUCAUUUAAGGAACCAGAAAAGGAGUUCUAUUAGCAUGGAUUUUUUUCUCUUCUUUCAAUUGUUAUCUUCUCUGGGAAAGCAUGCCCAAUUGGCAGUACAGUCCAGCCAAAAAGAUGCUGGCCUUGCUUUUCUGCAUGUCCAGAGCAGUGCACGACAUCCCACAGAUGACUAGAUGAGAACUGAUGCAUGCAUGAAUGAAUGAAAUGAGAUGUCUUCGGCUUCCUCAUUAUGGUUGGUGUUCCAGCUGGCCUCAAGUAUUUUUGGAUAUGAUACACACAAACAGAUGAACUGGGUCACUGACAUAAGAACUGGUGAGCUUCUUUCUGUCCUAGAAACUUCCCAAAUGCAGCUUAUGGGUUCUAGGGAUUAGAAGGGGCAUUGAAAUCACCUCAUGCACCCUUGUCUGUCACAUCAGUGUUCCCCAAAGCAGCCUGACUGGGGGCUGGACAAGCUCUAUUAAACACCUUUAGGGACAAGCCAUUCAUGCCGUGACCCACAGGUUAGCAAUUUUUAAGUGUUCAUUUCCUUCACGGCACUUAUCACAGGUUGAAAUUACACACUUGCGCAAUUGUUUGAUUAAAGUCUGUCUCCCCACUAGACCUGAAGAACACUGACAAGGUCUGUAAUUAAUUCACAAGAAAAGUCUGUUUGUUCACCUGUAUCUCUAGGGUUGGGCACAGGGCUUAACAUCUAGGAAGUGUUCAAUAAGUAUUUCUGAGUGAAUGAGUCCAAAACAAACGGGAUGGAGGGGAUGCUGUGAUUUGUUAUCAGCAAAGCAGCAAUGAGAACAACAGGUUAAGAUGCCCAGGUACAGAAUUCAUAUCAUACCUGACCACCUGAUGCACUCUCAGUCCAAAGGACAGUAAAGGGGUUAAGGGAGGCUUUAAAGGUAACUGGAUUUGGGGACAAGGUGAAUGCCAACAGCGGCAAAUGUCUGUGGUAGAUUCUUUUUUCUAGACCUUCAUUGUCCAAUAGAGUAGCUAUUAGCCACCUGUGUGGCUACUGAGCACUUGAAAUGUGGCUGGUCUGAAUUGAGAUGCAUUGUAAGUGCACAAUACACACCAGCUUUCAAAUGUUUUCAUGAAAAAAGAACAUAAGAUAUGCCAUUAAUAAUUUUUAUAUUGAUCCAAAAUGUUUUAGCUAUAAUUGGUUAAAUGAAACAUAUUAUUAAAAUUAAUUUCACUUGUUUCUUUUGCUUUUUUUAAAAUGCAGCUACCAUAAAAUUUAGAAUUGUGUAUGUAGCUUGAAUUAUAUUCUAGCUCUGUUCUGGAGGAAAGUCCUCGGAGGAGUUAUUAAUUGGUCGAGAGCCUUCACAUGAAUGCUCACCACUGAAACAGCUCAAGUUCUGUCUGUUCUACAGCCAGCAUUGUGCUGGUACUUCACUACCUAGUUAAACACAGGUUUAACCUUUGACCCAGUAAUUUUAUUUUCAGGAUAUUAUCCUGAAGAAAUCAUCUGAAAUGUGAAAAAAAUUCUUUAUGCACAAAGUUAUUAAAUCUAGCUUAUAUAAUAUGAUUGAAAACCAGGAAAUAAUCAAACAUCUAAAUAGUAGAAGAAUAAUAUUAAAUCUGCAUCAUCCAUACAAUGGAAUAGUAUGCAGUCAUCAAAAACUCUGUUUACAAAUAGUUUAUUAUUACAUGACAAAGUCCUGUGAAACUGCACAAACAAAAAUGCAAAAUUCAAUACUGCAUACACAAUACUACUGCAACUCAAAUGGAAGAGCUCAGAAGGGAGCAAGCAGAAAGAGGCCUAUGCAACUAUUAACCAAUGCUGUCUUUGGAGAAUGAGAUGAUGAAUGAGUUCUCUUUACUUCUUUGUAUAUUUUCAAUUACAUUUUAUUUAAUAAGCUUUUAAUAAAGAGGAUCAUAUCUUGUCUCAAGUGAAAAGGACCAAUCUUAGGAGUUUGCCUCAGUGUUGUAAACAGCUGCAGGUGGGCACACCCAUCAAUCCCGGCUUGCCCCUUUGAGCAUGUGCACUCACAAGGAAGACCCCUUUUUGCCAAAGUGCACCCUUCACAGCUUGUACCUGGUGGGUCAUUCAGUCCCCUAGCCAAGUCAACAUCUCUGCCACUGACUCAGGACUCCGCCUGGAGGGCAGCAGCUGCAGUGUAUCUCCUCUUGUACUUCCCUCCCAGCACAGAGCUGGCACCAGCAGGGGCUCUGCAAGAAUGCUGGCAUCUGUGUUCCUUUCUGCUGCUGGCCCUGUACUGGGCCAGGGGAGGCCCACCUGGACGGCUGUUUCUAGGUGCCACCUUUGCCAUGUAGCUCUGCGGGUUUAUACAAAGUGGAGUCCUGGCCGGAGAGUGGAAGAAAAGAAGGCAGGCCAGUCCUACGCCAUCCCCUGGUCACCUCUCUGUGGACCUGCUGCAGGUCACAGCUCUAAAGAUGCCCCUUACUACAGUCCUUCUGCUUCUGGUCACCACUGUCAUCCCACCGCCUUCAGGCUUCAGGGCCUAAUAGUGCUGUUGCUCAUGUCCUGUGCUUUUUCCUCAUCUCUCCUGUCUCCUUUGCUAACAGCUUCUUUAAGAAAUCCCCCCUGAAUAAUCCUAAUUUGAGUGUGUCCUCUUUCCUGCCAGGACCCUGACUGAACUGACACAGGACUUCAUUGAAAAUGCACCAUACAGUGUUCCUAGAAGAUAGGCACAGAGCACAUUCUGUGUGUGGUGUCCCCAAGCCUUGGGGCAUGGAAGGUAGAGGCUGAGUUCUGGGACCAACAGACCUGAGUUUAAAUUCAGGCUCUACCUGCAUCUAAUAGCCACCAGGUCCUCGAUGCAUCCCUUCACCUCUCCAGGUCUUGCCUUCCUUAUCUGCAAAAUAGGGUAAGGACACCUGCCUUUCACGAGUACUGUGCAGAUGAAAUGAGACGAGCUAUCUAAAUUUCUCAGUGGGUUGCCAGGCAUGCAGCAAAACCCCAGCAAAUAGUAGCUAACACUAUUAUUGCUGUCACCCACUGGGCCGUCAGACGUAUGAAUGCGAAUGUCCCAUCAGACUACCGUCUCCAGAGACACUCUGUGAGAGGGUCUGUACCCUCCCCAUCCCCAUCCUGGGCUGCAGAGACUGCAGGGAAGUCCCCCACACCCAGCUCCACACUCCACAAUAGCCUGUGUAGGCGCCUGCACAAACAUGAGGAGAGGAGCUUAGUCACAGAGCCAGAGGGAGGGGAGGAGAGCCAGCAGGAGAUGAAGUGCAUUUUGAGAAAAGCACUUGUUUAUUUAAAUAUUGUCCUUAUGAAAUGUACCAGAAUGAGAAAUAUGGGCAAUUGUGAUCAAAAGUGAGGGGGAAAGAGGAUAUAAAUUAUCAAAAAUACAGGAAAGAAUUAUGAGACAUUUGAAAUAAAAAUUUGCAUCUUUAAAAUAUCUACUUCAACCUCAGAAUGAGUGUAUCUUUUAAAAGCUCUUUGGAAACACUUCCCUGCUCUCUUUGUCUCUUUUCUUUCUAAGGCAUCUUCUCUUUAACUCCCUUUGGGAAACUUCUUAUAAAUGAGGAUUUGCAUCUCAAGGGAUUACUCUGGUUAGGAAAGUGUUUUAUUAAAAAAUAUAUGUUUGCCACAGAAUGCUGAGGGCUAUAAUUAGCUGGUCCCUUCUGUUUUAUUUUAAAAGACUGUAUGGCCAAGUUCUAAUUAAACAUAUUCUCAGGACGUUUGAAAUGUGAAGGUGCCUCAGAAAUGGGCACCAAAAUGAAAGAAAUGAAGGCAUGGGGAUGUAAUCCAGAAUGCGGACUCUCUGGCCACAGUGUACAUAGCAGCUUAGUCUCACUGCUGUUCCCUAGUACACAGCUACUGUGAUUAGUAAGCCAGUCCCAGCUUAUUGUUGGUGGGAUCCCACCCUGCAUGUGGGAGGCAGAGUCCGGAGCUGGGAUUCUGGGGACCUGAGGGUGUGAUAGGUUAUCAUGUCUAGAGUAAGGGUUGCUAAUUUGGCUGCCAGCUCUGACAUUCUGAUUAUACAUUUGGAUGUGUUCCUUUGCCUAGUUCUUGCCACAUAGCAUAACAAUGAUCCAAAUGUCCAUCCUUCCUUGUACUUUGUUCAGGAAUAAAAUAUGAGGCCAUGGCAACCUGCUCUUGAUGGUGCUAUAUAAAACCAGACUGGCUCAAUUAAGAGAGGCAGUGCUAUGCCCUCAUUCAUAAAAUGGGUAUAGAGUGAUGCCUAUGUGUCUCCCUUUGGAGAAGCAAAUGACCUGGAAAUGGAAAUACUCUUUCAGCAUGCAGCAGGAUGGGCUAGGAGCCCACAAGAGUUAAGAGCUUAGAAAUACCUCUUCGGAGUUGUCCCACAUUGACACCCAGAUCACUCUUUGCAAAGCACUUGCCUAUCCACUCUAACUUCUCUAGAAGCAAGCGGAGUGCUCAGUCAUUGCUGGUGGGGACUCAAUACGAUACUGUCACUUUGGAAAACAGUUCAACAGCUUUUUAUAGAAUCAAACAUAGUCUUAUGAUCUGGCAAACCCACUUCUAGGUAUUGAGACCCAGGAGAAAGGAAAAGUUAAGUUCAUACAAAACCUGUGAGCCCAUGUUUACAGCAGCUUUAUUCAUAUUUCCACAAACUAGAAACAAACCAACUGAUGCAAACUGUGGUGUACCCAUACCAACUACUGAUACACUCAACAAUGUGGAUACAUCUCAAAUACCUUACACUAAGUUAAAGAUGCCAGACUUAAAAGGUAACAUACUGCAUAAUUCCAUUUAUAUUACAUUUUGGAAAAGGCAACACAAUAGGGAUGAAGAGCAGCUCAGUGGUUCCUGGAUUGGGGAAGCCGAAGUGAAGGGCAGGAGGAUACUCUGAGCCCAAAAGGGCUGUACAAAGUAGUGUUUUUGAGUGAUGGAACUGUUCUAAAUCUUGUCUGUAGUGGUAGGUACAUGACUUCAUGAAUUUGUCAAACUCAGAGAACUAUAUACUGAAAGAGUGGAUUUUACUCUAUGCAAAUUAAAAAAUAAAUUUUAAAAGCCCUGAAGGCUUGGUGGUGAAUGUGAUGGUUGUUCGAGGUUGGCUCCCACCCCCAUAUUCAUUUUGUCCUACAGGGAUUCUCAUUAACCUAAUCAAGGCAUGGCGUUUCCUGGUGACAGCUACUGCUCCACAGAGGUGGCCCUCGAAAGCCAAAGGAAGGAUAUAAAUUACAUGGGUCAAUGAAAAGUUUUUCAUUUAUUCUUUUUUCCUAUUGGGUGUAGACAAAGAAGCAAGCAGUUCUACUGACCACUUGUGGCCCUCUUGAAAUCAUGAGACAAAACACCUUAAGGAUGAGAAUACAGAGCUAAGAGUGAGAGGGCAGAGGAAAGUGAGUUUCUGUUUGUAUAACAGAACCAGGAUUCACCACUAGAUAAUUUCCUUAAGCCAGUGUGAGUAGAGGACUGUAUUACUUGCCGUCAAAACAUCCUAGGAAAUGCAAUACUAGGAUCUCCUUGAUACACUUCUGCUCUGAUCCAUGACCCCAAGGCAAGUUGAAACAAACUGGGCAGUAAAAAAUGCACAUGAAACAAAAGGACACAUACAUCUAGCAGAAAAUGGGAAAAGGACUUGAACAGGUACCUUGGGACUAAGGAAACCCAAAUGAUCAGAAACAAAUCAAAAGGUACUCAGAUCUCCUUAGCCAUCUUGGAAAUGCAAAUUAAAUACUCUGAGACAGCAAACACAACCAUUAAAUUAGGAAACAUUAAAAAGAAGGGGGAAAAAAAGCUAAUAAUAUCACAUGCUCACAACAAUGGAAUACGAUGGGGACAUUUAAAAACUGCUGUGGGAGUGAAAAUUGACAUAAUCACUUUGGGAAACAAGUGGGAGUUGCAGAUACACAUACUUUAUGACCAAGCAAGCUCACCCCUACAUAUAUGUACAGCAGACAAACCCUCUCACAUGUGCACAACACAUGAAUAAGUGCAUUCACUGUGACUUUUUUUCAUGACAGACAAAAAAACUGGGAAAAAAAGGAAAACCUAUUAGAUUGCAAUAUAUUCAUUGUCAGCAGCUUUGAAAAUGACCAAAUGCAUGCAUCCAUGUGGUGAAAUUUUACAAACAGAAUGCUGAGUGAAUGAAACAAGAUACCAAAUAAUUCACUCUGUGUGCUUUCAUUUAUGUAGUUUAAAUACAGGCCCAGGGACUGGCACCUAAGCGUUAAACUACAAAGCAAGAUGAUAAUGUGGCCACUAUCAAGGCCGAGAAAGUGAUGGCUGUCUGGAAAGGGAACUGGGAUUGGGAAGAUCAGGGGGGCUUCUGGUGAUUAAGUGGUGGUGAUGCAGAAGUUGGCCUUAUCAUUAUAAUUUCAACUCUACACAUAUGAUUUACACAUUUUUCUACAUUUUUAAUAUAUCUCACACACAGAAACAUAGGAAGUCAAAAAUCAGAUCCCAGAGAAAUGCCAAAAACCAGGAAGAAGCCAGGAAUGUGGAAUCACCGACUCUGAGUGAGGAAUGCGGGAAGAUUGGCCCCAAAGACUGUUUAUUUCUUUGCCAUUUAUUCCAGCCAGAGGCCUUUUAAAAGUAUCUGCAUCUUAAGUAGAAACUGUAUCCUUUGAAAAGUAUCAAUUCUCUUUUAAAUUUCCCAUAAGUGUUAAUCUUACAGAGUGCUCUUACUGGGUCAUUACAGUUUAGAUCAGAAUCUGUUCCUUACAAGAGUCUACAAAGACUUAAGACUGAAGUCCUAUCCAACUGCUCCUAUUUGCCUAGAGAUCUUUCAUUUAAAAAAUUCAAUCAUCAGAGCAGAAAUGCAGGGAGCCACACCCAAUGCCUCUUGAGUAAGUAAAAUACAUACUGUAGCAUCCAGGUAUAAACUUCAUGCAGUUUCCUUGUAGAAAAUACCUUCAUGCUCUUUUUUGAGCCUAUUCACUCUAUUUUAAAUAUAAAUUUAACAUGCUCAGAAGGCUGUUUCCAAGAAUACAUCAGUUUAGGAAGGCAACAAGUAAGAAGCUGACACUGAGUUAGAAACAGACAGGAAAACAUUUCAACACUCCUUGGCUUCUGGAGGCAUUUAUUGUAGGGACAGCAAUGAAAUACUAAAUUAGAAAUUGACUGGAACCCCUUUUAAAAAAAUCAGGAAUGUGUGCAGUGCAUAAUAAAUGAUUACCAUCAAAUGUUUAGCAAAUCUUAUCCUUCAGAAAAUUAAGUUUUAUAGAUAUUUUCCUGUAAAGAAGUCAUUCUGGGAGAAUGCUAGAGAUAUUACAGUAGUCCCCUUUAUCUGUGGUUUUUGCUUUCCAUGGUUUCAGUACCCCGUGGCAACUGCAGUCUGGAAGCAGAUGAUCCUCCUUCUGACCUAUGGUCCAAAGGUCAACAGUAUCAAAUGUUACAUCACAAUGCCUAGUCAUUCGCAGUCUUUAUCUUGUCAUAUAGGCAUUUUAUCUCUCACAUCUUCACAAGCAGAAGGGUGAUUGCAGUAAAAUAAGACAUUUUGAGAUAGAACAUUUGUACAAUUUUUAUUACAGUAUACUAUUAUAAUCAUUCUAUUUUAUCACGUUAUUGUGGUUAAUCUCUUACUGUGCCUAAUUGAUAAAGUAAGUUUUAUCACAGGUAUGUGUGUUUAGUAUAAAUAGGAUUUGGUCCUAACUAGUUUCAGGCAUCCACUGGUGGUCUUAGAAUAUACCCACAGAUAAAGGGGGAUAGAUAUAAUCUAAGUCCCUGUAAGCUAUGUGUACAUAGAUACACACACACACACACACACAUAUAUAUACACACACACAUACAUAUACACAUAACUAUAUGUUCAUGCACAUAGCUGUAUAUUGGGAAAUAUUCUAUAGUGUUAGUGUGUGUGUGUGUGUGUGUGUGUGUGUGUGUGUGUAUCCCAUUAAAUAAUUCAGGAUUUGGAAGGAAUUCACCUUGAUAGCUGAACAAUUGUGGAAUAGCUCCAUCCUCAGAACAAAAUGACCUUUUCAUCAAGCUACAAAACAUUAAAGGUUAAAGAAUGUUUGAAAGGAAGUUAAUACUUUUAAAACAUUGGGGAAAUUGCCAUCCUUUCAAACUGAGAGGGAAGUGCCCAAUGGCACAUAUGAGCACUGUUGUUGGGAGGUGCCAUACAUUUGCAUUGCCUGCUGCAUUCAAAACUAUGAAUGAACCCACCUCAGCAGGCAA